Molecule: ribosomal RNA, 722 nt
Filed under: uncultured bacterium
Lineage: Bacteria
Description: bacterial SSU rRNA
Rfam family: Bacterial small subunit ribosomal RNA
Source: RNAcentral
AACAGGAUUAGAUACCCUGGUAGUCCACGCCCUAAACGAUGUCUACUAGUUGUCGGGUCUUAAUUGACUUGGUAACGCAGCUAACGCGUGAAGUAGACCGCCUGGGGAGUACGGUCGCAAGAUUAAAACUCAAAGGAAUUGACGGGGACCCGCACAAGCGGUGGAUGAUGUGGAUUAAUUCGAUGCAACGCGAAAAACCUUACCUACCCUUGACAUGGUCGGAAUCCUGAAGAGAUUUGGGAGUGCUCGAAAGAGAACCGGCGCACAGGUGCUGCAUGGCUGUCGUCAGCUCGUGUCGUGAGAUGUUGGGUUAAGUCCCGCAACGAGCGCAACCCUUGUCAUUAGUUGCUACGAAAGGGCACUCUAAUGAGACUGCCGGUGACAAACCGGAGGAAGGUGGGGAUGACGUCAAGUCCUCAUGGCCCUUAUGGGUAGGGCUUCACACGUCAUACAAUGGUACAUACAGAGGGCCGCCAACCCGCGAGGGGGAGCUAAUCCCAGAAAGUGUAUCGUAGUCCGGAUUGUAGUCUGCAACUCGACUACAUGAAGUUGGAAUCGCUAGUAAUCGCGGAUCAGCAUGUCGCGGUGAAUACGUUCCCGGGUCUUGUACACACCGCCCGUCACACCAUGGGAGCGGGUUUUACCAGAAGUGGGUAGCCUAACCGCAAGGAGGGCGCUCACCACGGUAGGAUUCGUGACUGGGGUGAAGUCGUAACAAGGUA